GCAUCCUUCACAAGCAGAAGGCUUUAGUAAUUGCUGUUCAAGCAACAGAGAAGUGGAGAAAGCUUUCCCUGCAAAUGCUGCAGGGACCGAUAGAGAUCCACAUGGCUGCUUCCUCUGAGCUCGGCUCUGUCUCCUGCAACCUAUUGACAUCCAUUAACAUUCUUCCAGCUAUAAAAAAAAAUGCAUCUGAUUCUAGCACUCUCCAUGGGCAGGAAGCGGGGCAUUGAAUUACGGAGCCUGAGUAAUUGCCCAUAGUCAUUGUGACGGAAAAUGGCAGAAAUCGCCAUGAGUCACGGGGUCCUGGGAAGGCAACUGUUUAGUGACGAUAAUUCUGUAAGGAUAAUUUCAUUAAUGGAAGUGGGAGACGAAGCUUGUGCCAGCGAAGACCGUGAAUGUACAUAUAAAUAUCCGCGGACAUGCGUCUAGUGUUUAAAAAACGGCCACAUGUAAAUGGGACUGUACGUGUCUGCCUUUUAAUGAAUGCCCAGGAGCUGAAUGGCAAAGCACCAUUCAGAAGUGAUUUGUGAUAAUCACACGGGGGAGAAAUCCUUUAAGUGAAAAGAAAUGGGAACAGGGAUGUUUCAAGCCGGGAUGUAAAAAGCUUCUAUUUGAUUUGGGGCCACAAAGGAUUCAAAAGACAUCAAAGCAUUGACGGACUGAAGAGCUUUCACCAAAGGAGGACCUUCCCAGUUCUGGAAUUCAGCACAUGAAUCCAAUCCUCAGCCGGGAAGGUUAUCUGGGGAGGGGGUGGCGGGCUGCCAGAGCUCCCCGCACCUGUCCUGCCCAGGCUUCUCCUGGGUGGGGUUCUGCGCACCUGGACCCAAACAGCCCUCCCUUUAUGAAAUGAACCGAGACGCAUGUUCUGGCUGAAGGAGCUGCUCCUGGUGCCACAUCCGAGACCCAGCAUUCAGCAAUCUGACUGGACUUUUGUUUGGGGCCUAAACUCUCGUGCGCCUGGACAGGGUCUUCCCCUCCCCGCGCAGCUGCGUCCCACCUUCCCCCACGCUCCGUCCUUCCUGCCCGUCAGCACAAACAGCAGAGCAAGGAGAAUGACCCGUCCUCUGCAGCCUGAGACUCCAGAAUUAGAAGCUGGCCAGCGGGUUGUGCAUUGGCCUGGCGGCCGUCACCAUAGGCAGCCGGGCCAGGCAGAGGCCGAGGUAGAGGCCCCGCUCCCUCCCGAUGAACGGAUGGGCGCUGCUCUUGGCUUAUGUCUUGAACUUGAGGCACAGCACCACCAAAUGAGCCUGGGAGCAUUGUUACUGUCCAGUCCAGUGGCCUUCAGUGCGCUCACAGCACCGUGUGGACGUCAGCUACAACGCAUUCCAUGUUUCAUCAUCCCAGAGGGAAACCCUGCACCCAGCAAGCCGCUGCUCCCAGCGCCCUCCUCCCCCGCGACCGCCCAUCUGCUCUGUUUCUAUGGCUCCGUCUAUUCUGGAUGAUUCAUAUAAAUGGAUUCGUGCAAUAUGGGGUCUUUUCUAGCUGACUUCCUCCAGCAGCGGGAUGUGUUUGAGGUUCAUCCACACGGCAGCGAAUACUCGCUCCUCAUUCUCUUUACGGCUGAAUAAUAUUCCGUGGGAUGCUCGGAACUCGUUUUGGUUAUUCACUCUUCCAUGUAUGGACACUUGGCUGCCUCUGCCUUUCGCGUCUGAACACGCUCCGUGGACAAGGAUCUCAGCCUCUGCUUCCCCUUCUAGCUUCACACUCAGAGGGAGCUGCUGGUUGGAAUAUGGCGUGGCCACAGCUGCAUGCUGAAUUGGGGGAGCACCUCCGUGGGCACGCCGGUCACAGGGUGUCCCACCCGCCACGUGUCUGCCUGGUUCUCUCCUGGGAUCUCGGGUUGGAGGAGCAUCAGUGUGUGGCCCGAAGAAAGCAGAAGCAGGAGGCAGAGGGGUCCCUGCUUGGAGGAGCUGAUCCCCCCGGGGCUCAGCCAGGUCCGCCCUCCCCUGCUGGGCCCAAGUGUCCUUCACUACCCUUUUAGCAGGUAAGGACUGAGGGCGGCACAGCCGAGUGGAGACCACACACCUGCCGUGGUACAGUGAGGUGGUUGGGAACAGUGGCCACAUUCCAGGCCCCUCUGCGUCCCCGCAGCUGCUGGAGACGCGGAGCCCUCACCAGGACUGUGGCAGAAGGGCUCUGAGCCCUGGGCACCCUGGGUCCUGGCUCCCAACACCUGACCCCUGACCUCGGCACUUGUUCCUCAGCCCUGCCCUGCGCCAUGAUCCCCGGGUUAGGGGACAGAGGUCAGGAUGGUGGCACAGGAGGUCAAGAAAACAAUCCUGUGAGAUCGGCUCCCGGUGCUGCCUCCAAGAAGCACUUGGCCCUCAGCUGUGCCCGGCCUGAGUGGACAGGGCGGGCCCCAUUGAGAUGCAGCCCUGAGGUGGUGUUGACGGGAGGGACCCAGGGGACUUGUGUGACCAGAUCCUGAAACUCUGGGGGAUAAGGAGGACAGCUCCUCUUCGCACCAAGUCUGUAACAGUGUGUGGUUCCGAGUCCUGCGGGAACCCCUCGGCCUGGGCCAAGGGGACCUGAGAGUCGGACGUCAUCUUGCUGCCGGUCAAAAGUGAGGAGGUGGGCCUGGGCAGGGGACUCUGGAAAUCUCUCUGGGAUCCCCAGUAAAACUGGAGCAGGAGGAGGGCACACGGUCCCUCUCUCCCUUGGGAGCAUCCCCUUUCCCAUCCCUUCAAUAAACUCAUCCCCAUUACUCUCA
Molecule: non-coding RNA, 2707 nt
Organism: Ictidomys tridecemlineatus (thirteen-lined ground squirrel)
Lineage: Eukaryota; Metazoa; Chordata; Mammalia; Rodentia; Sciuridae
Source: RefSeq, a predicted model, not a curated record